CAUCGGCCUGUGUGCACAUAGUAGCCUUCUGGGUGGGCGGAGCCCAGUCCCUUCCUAGGGGGGACACGGUCCUAGGCGUAGGAUCAGCCGGUCCUACGACUUAUAUUCUGCUUGCCGCCGGGUAUAGUAAGACCCCGCGAGGUGCAGUAUGGCUUUCCGCGGAUGUAGAAUUCUCGCGAGGUGCCGUUUAGUAUAUAGAUGUGAGAUGUUUCUAUGGAUUUCUGUUCUAGAUACUGGCUAGCAUU
Molecule: long non-coding RNA, 245 nt
Filed under: Phoenix dactylifera (date palm)
Lineage: Eukaryota; Viridiplantae; Streptophyta; Magnoliopsida; Arecales; Arecaceae
Description: long non-coding RNA (PDAC_LNC000897)
Source: RNAcentral